This is a long non-coding RNA of Neofelis nebulosa (Clouded leopard), 339 nucleotides long. RefSeq lists it as uncharacterized. Lineage: Eukaryota; Metazoa; Chordata; Mammalia; Carnivora; Felidae. The record is from RefSeq and is a predicted model, not a curated record. The transcript has 3 exons.
GCUUCCCUAAUUGUUCACUAUUACUUCAGAUGACUUCUGAAAGUCCUUGACAAUCAGUGUUAGGGAUGGCAUCAAGGUGGAUUGCUUCAACGGCUCAGUCUUCUCAUCAAGGAUCCAAGUUCGUUGAGCUUCUCCACUCUGCUGCCUACAACAUCAGCUUUACACACAGGUUGAUUUUCUUUAUGAUUGUGAGAAAGAGUGAAAGCAUGAGAAGAGGAGGGGCAGAGGUGGAGGGAGAGACAGAAUCUUAAGCAGACUCCAGGCCCAUUGUGGAGCCCCAUGGGGGUUUGAUCUCAGGACCAUGCAGUUGUGACCUGAGCCAAAAUCAAAAGUUGGAUG